AACGCUAGCUACAGGCUUAACACAUGCAAGUCGAGGGGAAACGACAUCGAAAGCUUGCUUUUGGUGGGCGUCGACCGGCGCACGGGUGAGUAACGCGUAUCCAACCUGCCCACCACUUGGGGAUAACCUUGCGAAAGUAAGACUAAUACCCAAUGAUAUCCCACGAAGGCAUCCGAAUGGGAUUAAAGAUUUAUCGGUGAUGGAUGGGGAUGCGUCUGAUUAGCUUGUUGGCGGGGUAACGGCCCACCAAGGCGACGAUCAGUAGGGGUUCUGAGAGGAAGGUCCCCCACAUUGGAACUGAGACGCGGUCCAAACUCCUACGGGAGGCAGCAGUGAGGAAUAUUGGUCAAUGGACGAGAGUCUGAACCAGCCAAGUAGCGUGCAGGACGACGGCCCUAUGGGUUGUAAACUGCUUUUAUAAGGGAAUAAAGUGAGCUACGUGUAGCUUUUUGCAUGUACCUUAUGAAUAAGGACCGGCUAAUUCCGUGCCAGCAGCCGCGGUAAUACGGAAGGUCCGGGCGUUAUCCGGAUUUAUUGGGUUUAAAGGGAGCGCAGGCGGUCUUAUAAGCGUGACGUGAAAUGCAGCGGCUCAACCGUAUGAUGUGCGUCGCGAACUGUGAGACUUGAGUGUAUUCGAUGUCAGCGGAAUUUGUGGUGUAGCGGUGAAAUGCUUAGAUAUCACGAAGAACUCCGAUUG
This 697-nucleotide ribosomal RNA is filed under the name uncultured bacterium. Its description in RNAcentral is "bacterial SSU rRNA". It matches the Rfam family "Bacterial small subunit ribosomal RNA", at positions 32 to 715 of the family's 1533-position model. The record is from RNAcentral.